RNAcentral lists this ribosomal RNA (400 nucleotides) under Acinetobacter sp. AUPU-2. RNAcentral's name for it is "bacterial SSU rRNA". It matches the Rfam family "Bacterial small subunit ribosomal RNA", at positions 202 to 586 of the family's 1533-position model. Lineage: Bacteria; Pseudomonadati; Pseudomonadota; Gammaproteobacteria; Moraxellales; Moraxellaceae. The record is from RNAcentral.
GCAGGGGAUCUUCGGACCUUGCGCUAAUAGAUGAGCCUAAGUCGGAUUACCUAGUUGGUGGGGUAAAGGCCUACCAAGGCGACGAUCUGUAGCGGGUCUGAGAGGAUGAUCCGCCACACUGGGACUGAGACACGGCCCAUACUCCUACGGGAGGCAGCAGUGGGGAAUAUUGGACAAUGGGCGCAAGCCUGAUCCAGCCAUGCCGCGUGUGUGAAGAAGGCCUUAUGGUUGUAAAGCACUUUAAGCGAGGAGGAGGCUACUUUAAAUAAUACCUAGAGAUAGUGGACGUUACUCGCAGAAUAAGCACCGGCUAACUCUGUGCCAGCAGCCGCGGUAAUACAGAGGGUGCAAGCGUUAAUCGGAUUUACUGGGCGUAAAGCGCGCGUAGGCGGCUAAUUAA